AAAAUUAAAAAUUAAAAACUAAAAUUUCAGUUGCUUCUUCAAUAAAUCAGUACUUCAUUAGGCUUUACCAUCCUAUCUGCAUUCAAGUUGUUAAUUUGAGGGGGCACUGUGUGGUUAAGAUUGUAGUUCACAUGGUUGGCUUGGGUUAUCAUGGUGUUGAUUGUACUUCCAUUUGCUUCUGUUUGAUGUACUGAAUUGUUUCAUAUUCAAUGGUUAUGGCAGAGCAUCUUUAGAUUGUGGAAUUGAUGGGUGGAAUACUUUCAAAACGAGCAAGUUCACGUCAGGCGUCAAGUUCACAUUCAUGGAGCUAUCCACAGUCAUCAUAUGUGCAACCAAAUCAAGAAUUUAUACCAUGCCAACAGUAUACAUAUGCACCUCCAAGUUAUGGUGGUCGAGCCCCAGAUUCUGGGAGGAGGUUGGAUAGAAAGUACUCAAAGAUAGAUGAUAAUUACAAUAGUCUGGAGCAGGUGAAUUGUUGAUGCCAAAGAAGUUGCCAUAGGAAAAUUUAGUUUGUGUUUUGAUCAAUGAGCACUCAUUAUCAGGAUUCAAGGAUUAAGGGCUAGUUACAAAUGAAUGAGGGCACUACUUUUGAGAAACCAGAUGAAAUGUGUUAUCAAACAGAGGAACAUUAUAGAUAAAACAAGCUUCAAGCUAGGGUUCUUGAAAAUCAAUGAUCAGUAACUUUUAGGUAUCACAACCAAGACAAGGAUUCCUUAACAUACAGUUAAGUAGUGAUCUCACCCUACAGGUGUCUAUGGCUUGGUUAUUUGGGGCAGGUUACCUGAAGGGGUGCCCUCAAACCGGUGACUAGACAACUGAUGUGCAUAAGAAUCAAGUAUUCUUAGGAGCUAACUUCCUUCCCAUUACAGAGGCUGUUGAAUCAGCAGCAUAAUGAUUCUCUAAGAUCAAAAGAAAACCAUAUCCAACCAAAUUCAAUAUUCAGUAAUUCAAGCUUUCAAUCAGGCUCUCCUUUAAAAUUAAGCCAACAUUCCUUUUGUCUUCUUGCUUCAGCAUUAGAUUUAGAUAGUGAUUGUUAUUUAUCUGUACGUCAAAUGGUAUCGUUGUGGAGGACCAAAGUGGAGCCAAUUUUGUUUGAGAAGUUCUUGAGGAUUUGGUUCAAUUGGAAGAAAAAUUUUGUUCUCUUGGAUUCUGAAGUUUUUCUGAUGUUUUUCUGCUUUUCUAAGGGGAAGAAUACUUCCUUUUCUCCAUAAAGAAAGUGUUCUGUCUUACAUUCAAUCUGUCAUCAAUGGUUACUAAUGGCCUAGUCUUCAAAUCUCAUUGUGGGUAUUGAUUUCACAAAGAGCAAUGAGUGGACAGGUGCAAGGUCAUUUAACCGAAGAAGCCUGCAUCAUAUUGGAGAUGAUCAGAAUCCUUAUGAACAAGCAAUAUCUAUCAUAGGAAAAACAUUGUCUUCUUUUGAUGAGGAUAACUUAAUUCCCUGUUUUGGAUUUGGAGAUGCCUCAACACAUGAUCAAGAAGUCUUCAGCUUCUAUCCCGAUGAGAAGUUUUGUAAUGGAUUCGAGGAAGUACUUGGUAGAUAUAGAGAAUUAGUUCCCCAGUUACGGCUUGCAGGCCCAACAUCAUUUGCUCCUGUUAUUGAAAUGGCAAUCACUAUUGUUGAGCAGAGUGGUGGUCAGUACCAUGUUUUAUUGAUAAUAGCAGAUGGACAGGUUACAAGAAGUGUAGAUACUGUGAAUGGCCAAUUAAGCCCUCAAGAGAAGAGAACAGUUGAAGCAAUUGUUAAAGCUAGUCAAUACCCCUUGUCAAUUGUUUUAGUUGGGGUUGGAGAUGGGCCAUGGGACAUGAUGAGGGAAUUUG
Molecule: unclassified non-coding RNA, 1818 nt
Filed under: Hevea brasiliensis (rubber tree)
Lineage: Eukaryota; Viridiplantae; Streptophyta; Magnoliopsida; Malpighiales; Euphorbiaceae
Source: RNAcentral